AUGUUGCUAUGCUGUUUUUCUUGUAUUCUUGCAUGGAUAUCAUGUGAAGAUUACUGGGUUUACCAGAUUUAUAGAAGAAUACAUACAAUAUCCGUCAAGAGAGCUAAAGUUGUACAUUUCUUGAAAGAUCUGCUCAGUGAUUUAUUCUUAUUUGAUUUUGUCCUUUUCCAUGUGAUUUGUUUCAUUCAAUGUGUUUCUGUUGCUAAGAACCCCCCUCCACCCAUGUAUUUUUCUCUCUACAUUCAUUCGCCAGGGCAAGCUAUGAGACUUAAUCAUUGUGUCUACAAUGUCUUCUUCCAUUGUGACAUUGUCUUUCUCUUCUCUCUCAUCUCUCGCUCGUGUGUGUUUGUGCUCAGCACUGGGGAUCUCUAUACUUACUGGACACUGAAGGGCCGCUCUGAUGAGAGAGAUGCUCGAGUGUUUGCUGCCGAGUCACCUCUGCUUGACUGAUUUCGGGCUGUCUCGCCAUCUUGAGCGUGGGGCUAGAGCUUUUACUGUCUGUGGCACAAUACAGUACAUAAGUGAGGCCGGAAUCUGAACUGCACUCUUUUUAAACGAGAAAGUACUGUGUUUACCAUCAGCUAUAUCUAGCAGUAACUAAAGACAUGUAUAGCUCUAAGCAAAUGAGCUAUUUCUGUAAUAAUGGAUAUUUAAUUACACGAUGUGGUCAUUAAACAGCUCCUGAGGUCCUGAGCGGCGGCCCGUACAGCCACGCUGCAGACUGGUGGUCUCUUGGCGUUCUUCUCUACGCUUUAGCCACUGGAGGGGUGAGACAUAUCCAGAGGCCAUACUGCAAGAUGAGCAUUGUACUUGAUGGAUGUGCCAAUCUCAAUGUGCAGAUCUCAGUGAUGUGUAGAAAGUGCCACAGGCUGCUUAUUCAGACGCUUGCAGUAGGAUUUAUUAAGAGCAUUAAUGAAGAACUAAUACAGGGAAUAGAACCAGAAACACGGAACAGGAGCAUACACCAGGAAACAAAGACUGACACUGAAUAAGGCAAACACAGGGGUAUAUAUACAAGGGGGUGAAACCAAUGAAUCACUAUGACAACAAACGUAGGAGGUAGAAGAGGAAACAGGAAAUAAGCACAGGAAGUGAAAACAGAAACUCUGGGGGCAGAAAAACACUUCAAAUUAAGAAUUCACAGUGAAACAGAAACAGGCUGGAUCAUAACACACAUAUUAUGUGAAAUAUAAAAACGUAAAAAAAAAAGAAGGUAUUUUAUUAAGAUCAUGUGAUGUUUAUGGGUAUACCCAAUAUUUUACUAACUAAACAAUAAAAUGUUUAAUAUAAAAUAAAAUAUUAAUUUA
Molecule: long non-coding RNA, 1307 nt
Organism: Cyprinus carpio (common carp)
Lineage: Eukaryota; Metazoa; Chordata; Actinopteri; Cypriniformes; Cyprinidae
Source: Ensembl